UCCUGCUGGCUCAGAUGAUAAAGAAUCUGCCUGCAAUGCAGAAGACCUGGGUUUGAUUCCUAGGCCAGGAA
Molecule: transfer RNA, 71 nt
Filed under: Ovis aries (sheep)
Lineage: Eukaryota; Metazoa; Chordata; Mammalia; Artiodactyla; Bovidae
Rfam family: tRNA
About the family: Transfer RNA (tRNA) molecules are approximately 80 nucleotides in length. Their secondary structure includes four short double-helical elements and three loops (D, anti-codon, and T loops).
Source: Rfam by way of RNAcentral